GUGGGGAAUUUUGGACAAUGGGCGCAAGCCUGAUCCAGCAAUGCCGCGUGCAGGAAGAAGGCCUUCGGGUUGUAAACUGCUUUUGUACGGAACGAAACGGUCCUGGUUAAUACCUGGGGCUAAUGACGGUACCGUAAGAAUAAGCACCGGCUAACUACGUGCCAGCAGCCGCGGUAAUACGUAGGGUGCGAGCGUUAAUCGGAAUUACUGGGCGUAAAGCGUGCGCAGGCGGUGCUGUAAGACAGGCGUGAAAGCCCCGGGCUCAACCUGGGAAUUGCGCUUGUGACUGCAGUGCUGGAGUACGGCAGAGGGGGAUGGAAUUCCGCGUGUAGCAGUGAAAUGCGUAGAUAUGCGGAGGAACACCGAUGGCGAAGGCAGUCCCCUGGGCCUGUACUGACGCUCAUGCACGAAAGCGUGGGGAGCAAACAGGAUUAGAAACCCCAGUAGUCC
Molecule: ribosomal RNA, 450 nt
Filed under: uncultured bacterium
Lineage: Bacteria
Description: partial 16S ribosomal RNA
Rfam family: Bacterial small subunit ribosomal RNA
Source: RNAcentral